This 7980-nucleotide long non-coding RNA is filed under the name Triticum aestivum (bread wheat). RNAcentral's name for it is "long non-coding RNA (TAES_LNC004552)". Lineage: Eukaryota; Viridiplantae; Streptophyta; Magnoliopsida; Poales; Poaceae. The record is from RNAcentral.
UUUUUUUAUUUUUUGUUAAGUAACGAACGUUUCCUGUUUAGUUAGUUUUAGUGAACGUUUUCUUUCUGUAGAUCUGUUUAGCGAACGUUCGUUUGAUAGGAUUUUUCUUUUUAUUUUAGUUUUCGGCCAGGGACCUAUACGUGAUAAAUUUCUUCACAGAUUAGUCCUUGUACUUCAAACGACCACGUCUUUUUACUCGUUUAUCCAAAUUCAACGAAAUCAACGCUCACUUCUUCGUUAUGAUCUCCUCUAUCCAGUAAUCCAACUUAAACAUAUUUUUGAAAGUUUUAAAAUUUUAAUUCAAACAGUUUUGUAUUUGAGCUUCGUUUGAUCAUAACUUGAGUUUUAUAACUCCGGUUUAAUUGAUCCUUUUUGCAAAUUAAAGCUCUUGACCUAAACUUUCUGAUAAGGCCAAAUUCACCUAAUUUUGGUACUGAUAGAAAUUGUUUUAUGUUGCAAGAGUUAUUUGCUUGGUUUUGAUGUUUUCCGAACUGUCUUUUCGUUUUUCCGAUCUUUUGAGUGAUUGCUUAUGUGUGGUUACUAUUGCUUGCUUACGAUAGAUUGACCGGAGUGUGACGAGUAGAACUAUCAAGAGUGUUGAGUGUGAAUCAUCUUCAUCAACAGUACAGGCAAGUUCACACUUUGAUCAUAUCCCUUUCAUACCCAGUUUUUAUGCAUUAGUUUCACCCUCAAACAUUGCAUGAGUAGGAUUGAUAACAGGUGGGUAUUGGGAAGUAGUUGAUGAGGUAGGAACCUAUUGCCCUGCAUUCAAACCUUGGGAGUUACUUUUACGUUGCUUACAUUGCUAUGCUAUGCUUGUAGACGUGGUUUGGGUUUGAGUGUAUUCAUGACAGAUGUGAGUAUUCUUAAUUAAUGGUUAACUUAAGGUGGCAACUUUAAUACACAUCUGGGCGGAUUGAGGCACCUGGAGUAUCCAGUGAUUGCCUGUAUUUUUUGGAAAUCCCGGGGUACCGUGUGAUUCUCCAAUGGACUGCCACCCAGGCUCAAAGGGAUCAUAAGAUUAUUCAUACUAGAAACUUCCGUGUGCAGCCACAUGCCAUUAUGGGCUCUGGCAUAGUUGAGUAAGUUGUGGGAAACCUUUCCAUGAUGGGCUAGCAGAUGUAGGGAUUGUAGGUGUACAUGCCUAUCUAUCGGUUAAGGAGACCUCUUCGGAAAGAUUGUGUCUCGGUCAUCCGUUUCUCAAACAUUAUGUAGUGCGAGAAAUCCAACGGAGGAGAUCGAGUCUUGUGGGAAAAGUGCGCAAACCUCUACAGAGUGUACAAACUAAUCAUGAUUAGUCGUGUCCCCGGUUAUGGACAUAUUGAGUAUCUGGUUUUGGAUUAUCAUGUUGAUCUCAUCACUCUAUAUAAUUAAUUUGUUGGGUUGUUAAUUACCUUUAAUUGGGAUUGAGAUGGGGUUUACCAUUCUCAAUGUUUUCAACAAACUUUGUAGUUAAAUAAAAUAUAUUCCUUUGCAGUAGGGAAAAAUUGGCUUUUCGCAAAAACCUUAUAACCAUAGAGCUUUCCACCAGCCAAAUAUGCAUGUAGUGAUAGUUAUCAUUCAUAAUUAUCCUAUGGUGUGAAUUUGCCAGUACAUUCAAUGUACUGACCCUUUGUGGCUGCAACGUCUCAUGUUGCAGGAUUCUUACGACGAGUAAGUGAUACGUUAGGGUUACGAUUUCUACACUUAACUUUGCCGUUGGUGUUGAUGGGAAUCCACAACCUUGUUACUUCCACUAUUUGGAUUAAGGUAAUAGUAUUUACGUUAUUUUAUACAUGUGAUUUACCUCUGUUAUAAAUCCUCGAGUACUGUGUGUGUCAGCAUACCAAUCCAGGGAUGACACUUAAGCACAGAGACUUGACCGUCUAAGGUCGGGUCGCUUCAAGAUGGUAUCAGAGCACAUGUUGACUGUAGGACGUGACCCCUAGAAACUGGCAAGCCCAUAGGAAGGAUUUUCUCUAAAACUUUCUUUUUCAAAAAGAUCUUUUACCUCUCUUCUUUUCUGAGCUUUAUCAAAAUAUUCCCUUUUAGUUAGACUAUAUCCCUUUCCCCUUUUGACCACUCAAAGAUUCGACUGAUGAGACCAUUCCAAGAAGUACAAGAUAUCGGAGAACCAUGACCACUACGGAAUGAAGGAGAUUUUACCGUGCGUCUGAAUAAUGGAAACUACAACAGUUGAAGACUCCGAAGACUAGGAGAAUUUGGAGGCUAUGAAGAAUUUCCAGAUAUUGUAUGACCUAGUAAGGCUCCCUUGAUGGAACUUGGCAGACUAUAGAAGCUGUCAAUACCUGAGAUCAAGGUGUAUCGGAGAAAGACCGGAUCAUGGAGCUUUAGAACUCAAAGUUUUGUCAAGAAAACCCUAAUGCAGGAGAUAUCAACUAUGGAGUGAUAGCUCAUGGAAAUGACAAGAGCAGAAACACGGCAAUCCAUGAUGUUAUUGCCCACUUAUGCUAUUGUCACCGUGCUGAGUUAAGCAUGCAUAUGCAUGGAAGGAUUGGAUGGUAGAAGGCUGAUGGAGCACCUAUCAACAAAGGAUGCAGUUUUAACCUUAGCUGGUGUAUCGCCAGGAUCUGGAGUGUUACAUCAAGAAGUUAAGAUGGACCUACAAGAAGCAGUAUUUGAUAAGGAAGCAUUUCGUGAAGAACUCAGGACCCAGAAGCUGAAAGUAGCCAAGCUAGAGGAGCAAAACCUUGAGACAUCAAAGAUUCGUCAGGAGCUGAAGGACAGUAGGAUCAUGGUUCAUGUCGAGGUUGAUGAAACCCAGAAGUCUGGAACGCAACUCCAGAAAUAUUAAAGGACGUCACGAUAGACUUUGCGACAACAGAGAUGAUCUGGCAAAAGAACUUGAGAAGGUCAAGCACGAUCAGAAGAAGCCAUCGAAGACAUGAACAAGACUUGAAGAGUUUGGCGAUUUUGAAGAUUUAUUGACCUUUAGAAUACCAAACCCCUGUUAUAUACCUACAUUAGAUGCGACGUUUGUGAGCUGUCAUUUGUUUGUUGUUUUUCCGACAGCCACAAUAAAAAUCUGCCUUUUCAAAACUUUUCCUUGUAUUGUGUGUAUCCCUCUCUAUCUCUCUUAUCUCACCCCAAGACCCUUGGAUCCCAAAAGAUGACGAAUGGAGAUGGACGAGUAUUUCCGAGAUUCAUGACACAACCGGAGGUAGCACACCGGAUACGGAACAUGGAAGAUCGCAUGAAGGAGCACGGUAUUGAAGGAGAGUAUAUGGUUCCAUACACCCUACGAAAGAUCACACAAGGUGCUGCAAAAUGGCGAGAGAUACACCAAGCCAUACAAGGAUGGAAUGGAGCCAAUGCUUGGGAUGAAUUCAAGACGAUUCUACUGAGGUCCCGUCUUACCUGAAAGCCAUGUGAACCUAAAGAGAAGAAGCCUUGUGCAUGUAAGAUUUGUGGAGAAAUGGGACACACCCAUAAAGAACACAAGGAUGAAUGUCCAAAUUGUGAAGGAAGUCACCCAACUGAAGAAUGCCCAACUAGGCAGAUCACUUGUUUCUUGUGUGAAGGGACUACCCACUACCCUGCUCAGUGUCACAUUUACCCCAUAGUUCGAAAAACCAUCCAGCAGAAGAAAGAAACAAUGAAAGGAGCCCUCAUGGAAAUUUCAGAAGAACCUGGGAUGAAUGAAGAGGUGGAGGACACACCCAAAGAAGACCCAAUUAAACCCUGCACCAAGUCAUGCUAUUCAUGUGGAGAAGAAGGACACAUCUCCCAGAAUUGUAUGAAUGUGGACCUAGUAAAAUUCCCGACAGAGGAAGUAGAGUAUGACCCACAGGAAAUAUAAGCCCUGAUUGGAACGGAACAUUCCAGGAAGAGAAAUAGAUUGGAAUCCAGGAAGGACCUGAGUCAUAUCACCUGUUUUAGGUGCAAGGAUUCAGGGCACUACUGCAGCGAUUGCCUAAAAAGGAAGCCGAGAACCCAAAGAGGCUAUGUAAUCAUAAGGAAACCACGAGAUUUGUCAGAAGUAGUAUGUUUCUGUUGUAAUGAAGCAGGGCACUUUGCCAGGGAUUGUACCAAAGAGAAGGAGGCUUGGGCUAAAUAGCUGAGACUGUGAGAAAUAUAAUAGUAGUAGUGAGAAAAUUUUCCUUUAUAUUGAGGUGUUGAGUUGAGGCAUGUAAUGGAAAUGCAAGAGAUUGUAAUCAUUGGAAAAUCAAUAAAGUUAGCAUCGUUGGUACUGAUAUGGAUUUUAUGAGUGGUUACUCUAUGAAGAAAGAUUUUGACCAUUUUCGAGGAUAUGAGAAACAUGGCCUAUGGAUGAAUUUGUGCAUUUUAAGGGUGGUAGUACCCUGUGAGGAGAUUUGAUCCCUGGAAAGGAUAAUGAUGUUCCACGGAGUGGAUUCCAUAAGUAUAAGUUUUAUCCUGAUAUGUGGGAUACCCCAAGAAUAUGAAGGGAUGAAGUACUGUUGGAUAUAAAGGAGGUUCAAUGUUGGUAAUAUGAAGUACUAGUAACUCCAUGAUGAGCCUGAGUAAUCGCGUCUGAGUUGGUACCAAUAGAAGGAAGAAGGACAGUACAAUUGGAUGGAAUUAAGAAUGCUAGGAAGUUAGAUGUUGAGAUAAUGAUCAGUUGGCCCCGAUGAUGAGUUCAAGGUUUACAAGUGAUGAGAUGGGCCAUAAUCCACAAGCCCCAGGACCUGCCAAGAAGCAAGCACAUUCUUGCUGAAGGAAAAACCCUGGAAGAGGUUACGAUUUUAUCAAUAGACGAUCUUAUAGGAGUAAGGCAAAACCUGAGAGUCGUGAAGGGACGAUAGAUGUUUGUUUGGCUUGCAGAAUUAAUGGAUUUAUCCGAACUUGGUUCGUCGACAAGAGAAAUUCUGCAAUGCUGGUGAGGAUGACCAAGUGUUAUAAUGCGAGAUUCGCUAAGUCAUAUACAAGGUAAUGAUUUGGGUGCGGGAUGGAUUGAUCACCAUACCGACUUACUCUUAUUAUUCGCCUUGCUAUAUGGGAUGGUAAAUCUAAGUGACAUACCUAUAGUAGAGAGACGACGAUAUUAAACCUUGUUUAAACCUUAGAAUGGUAUAGCAAUUUUUCCCUUGUACAAGGCAGCUUUUGCCAACCGUAGGUUAUACGGUGAGGAUCAACUCAGACCCAUUUCCUGCAGGAGAAACCAUAAAUUGAUGACCACCAUGAGAUAUCGAUAGUUGAUUAGUAUUGGCGCCAGACCCGUCAGCUAAGAAGACCCAAUCUCGGAAUAACCUUACCAAGAUGAAAUGACAGAAGAAUUGUGGUAAAGGUUAUGCCACUACCGGAAGAACCCAGAGAAGGAAUUAUCCUGAAGAUCUGAGAAGACCGACACUGUCAACAAUAAGGAUGAAGUAUAUGAGUAUUGAUGAGACCGUAACGAUGGUUCUAAGGGUGAUAGCACCCCAGGCCCCCUGUGACGAUCGAUGGAUUUUGAGAAGACCCCCAAACCUAACCUAUUUCUUUCUAGCCUCUCCGAAUCUCGAGGACGAGAUUCAUUUUAAGGGUGGUAGGUUUGUAACAUCCCAAAAUUCUAAAUUUUGGAAUGUUAUACUAAAUAGAUAGAUUUGAUUGAUUUUUUGAUUGAUUGACUGAAAGUGUGUGAAAUUCGAAACUUUUUGAAAGUUAAAUGAGAGGGAAUAAAAGGACUUUCCCAAACUUUCAUUUUUGUUUUUAUGAUCUCCGUGCAUUCAAAUUCUUUUCAAAUACAAAACCCUAGAGAGAAGAUGACAUGACUUCUUCCAUUUAAAUAAAUGAAAAGGGUAUUUGAAAAUAUUUGAAUUUCAUUUGGAACUAUUUUUCAAAUUCAGAAACUUUAAGCAACUCAAUGAUUUUCAUAAGAGAAGAUAAUAUGACUUCUUCAAAAUAUAUGAAAUAUGAGUUGGAAGUUUUAAAAGAAUUAAAUUCAAAGUUAUUUUGAAAUUAUUUUCAAUUUGGAGUUAUUUGGAUUUUAUUCGAAAUAUUUUUAUCCAAAAAUAAAAUAUAUGGAAAUUAGGGUCAAAUGAUUUCCUACAUCAGAAAAUUGGAGAGAAAUAAAUUUGAAAUAAUUUUGGUAUUUCUAAAAUGAUUUUUUAUUGGAUUAUAGUAGAGCAGGAGCACUGUUUGAAUUAUUCAAAAUAGUGUGUAUUUUAUUUGACGUUAGUAAAAUAUUCAUGUUGUAGAAAAUAAUGUUCUGAAAAUUUUGAUUUAAAAUAUGCCUAGGUUCUAUUUUAUUUUAUUUCGCUUUUAUUCUAUUUUUGUUGUGUUUUAAAAAAACUCUUUCCUUCGCCGACUGGGCCGGCCCAGCUCCAACCGGGCCAGGCCGAUGCCCAGCCUCGCCGCACCGUCUCCCUCCCGAGCGGGAGUCCGUCGCCCGCAUGCCUCGCCGGCCGUCGCCGUGGCCAACCCGGCCACCUCCGCGCCGCCUUGCCCCCUCCGCCAAGUCUCCCUGCCCCUGGCCCCUUUAUAAGAUCUCCCUCUCCUCCUCGGAGUCGCUGCUGCCGCAUCUCGCCGCCCUCGCAUCUCGCCGCCGCACUUCCUCGNNNNNNNNNNNNNNNNNNNNNNNNNNNNNNNNNNNNNNNNNNNNNNNNNNNNNNNNNNNNNNNNNNNNNNNNNNNNNNNNNNNNNNNNNNNNNNNNNNNNNNNNNNNNNNNNNNNNNNNNNNNNNNNNNNNNNNNNNNNNNNNNNNNNNNNNNNNNNNNNNNNNNNNNNNNNNNNNNNNNNNNNNNNNNNNNNNNNNNNNNNNNNNNNNNNNNNNNNNNNNNNNNNNNNNNNNNNNNNNNNNNNNNNNNNNNNNNNNNNNNNNNNNNNNNNNNNNNNNNNNNNNNNNNNNNNNNNNNNNNNNNNNNNNNNNNNNNNNNNNNNNNNNNNNNNNNNNNNNNNNNNNNNNNNNNNNNNNNNNNNNNNNNNNNNNNNNNNNNNNNNNNNNNNNNNNNNNNCGCCGUCGCCGAGCUUGCCGCCGCCGGAGCUGCUGCCCACCGUCGCCGGAGAUCGCCGGAACCGCCGCCGCCCGAUCCGCCGCUCGACCCGCCGGUUUCUCCCGGUCCGGUAUAAAACCGUCCCCGGUUCACCGGUUUUCUUUUAGGUUUAGGUUUUUUUCGGUUUUGUUUAAAACCUGUUUUUUUUAUUUUUUGUUAAGCAACGAACGUUUUCUGUUUAGUUAGUUUUAGUGAACGUUUUCUUUCUGUAGAUCUGUUUAGCGAACGUUCGUUCGAUAGGAUUUUUCUUUUUAUUUUAGUUUUCGGCCAGGGACCUAUACGUGAUAAAUUUCUUCACAGAUUAGUCCCUGUACUUCAAACGACCACGUCUUUUUACCCAUUUAUCCAAAUUCAACGAACUCAACGCUCACUUCUUCGUUAUGAUCUCCUCUAUCCAGUAAUCCAACUUAAACAUAUUUUUGAAAGUUUUAAAAUUUUAAUUCAAACAGUUUUGUAUUUGAACUUCGUUUGAUCAUAACUUGAGUUUUAUAACUCCGGUUUAAUUGAUCCUUUUUGCAAAUUAAAGCUCUUGACCUAAACUUUCUGAUAAGGCCAAAUUCACCUAAUUUUGGUACUGUUAGAAAUUGUUUUAUGUUGCAAGAUUUAUUUGCUUGGUUUUGAUGUUUUCCGAAUUGUCUUUUCGUUCUUUCCGAUCUUUUGAGUGAUUGCUUAUGUGUGGUUACUAUUGCUUGCUUACGAUAGAUUGACCGGAGUGUGACGAGUAGAACUAUCAAGAGUGUUGAGUGCGAAUCAUCUUCAUCAACAGUACAGGCAAGUUCACACUUUGAUCAUAUCCCUUUCAUACCCAGUUCUUAUGCAUUAGUUUCACCCUCAAACAUUGCAUGAGUAGGAUUGAUAACAGGUGGGUAUUGGGAAGUAGUUGAUGAGGUAGGAACCUAUUGCCCUGCAUUCAAACCUUGGGAGUUACUUUUACGUUGCUUACAUUGCUAUGCUAUGCUCGUAGACGUGGUUUGGGUUUGAGUGUAUUCAUGACAGAUGUGAGUAUUCUUAAUUAAUGGUUAACUUAAGGUGGCAACUUUAAUACACAUCU